Long non-coding RNA from Felis catus (domestic cat), 3452 nucleotides. RefSeq lists it as uncharacterized. The record is from RefSeq and is a predicted model, not a curated record. NCBI's taxonomy places the organism in Eukaryota, Metazoa, Chordata, Mammalia, Carnivora, Felidae. The transcript has 6 exons.
CCCGAAGAAGCGCGAGAUCAUGAGAUCACGAUGCGGAGCUGAAAUCGAAAGUCCCACGCUUAACUGCCUGAGCUACCCGGGCGGCCCUCUACCAGCUGCCUUUUUUCUUUCUUUCUUUUUUUUUUUUUUUUUUAGCAGCCGGGCUCUCCUGUUCUCCGUGGAAGGGGGAAUUUAUUUCAUUAUGGGGAGUUCUGGAGGGUGUGGGAGGCCAAGCUGGAGUGGGCUUUAAGGCUCUUUCCAGCUGUUCAAAGGCAGGAACUUGGGGCCUCUUUGGAAUCUAUAUCUGAGCUAAACAAGAUGGCGCACAGAGAAGCCUUCAGUAGGGCAAGAAAGUGGGACCGGAUGAACUCUGAGGACCACGCGAGACUCAUGAUGACCAUAAAGGUCUGUAGCGAGGCGGCCCCGAGAGCAAGGUCUCCCUGCUCCCCUUGUUGUACCGCAGGCGAAAGCGGAAAUUGGAAGGCAAGCCCUGUGAUGGCGAGGACUUGAAAAUUGCUUCUAAUUUCCAAGUGUGUGGCAGAGAGAGGGACAGCCUGCCAAGGACACGGCCUAAGUCACCCUCCUUGUAAUGAGAGAAGAGGAGGAAGAGCGGUGAUUAAAUGUGCUUGAUAAAACUUCUCUAUUUCGUGUUUGGAAUAAAAAAGGGAAGGUUGAGAUAAAGCAGUGCUUGUUUGGUGUUGUUCAUGACACGGCUGAGCCGAGCCGGGCAGGGCCAGUGUCUCUAAUCCUCCCCUGGUGAGCACAGAGGUGGGGCAGCUGGCACCCAGCUGGGCCGUGGGACAGAGAUUGGAAGGGCCUUUGCCACCAGUGGGAGGGUGGCAGUGGUGUCACAGAGGAGAAGACAGAGCCAAGACGUGAGGGCAGAGCGGGAGGUUUAUCAGGUGGGGAGGCCGUUCCGGGCAAUGAACGGCAUGUGCAGGGUGUGGGGCCCCCUGGCUGGAGCUCCAUGCUGAGUAGGGGGGAACGUUCUGCCUCAGUUCUCCUCGGCCGGAUCCUGCCUCCAGAAGGCCGAGUCCCACCCUGUGCUCAGCACAGCGCUGGCCACUGUGGGGGAACCAGUGGACUGUUUGUUGUCCUGCUGGCGUGUCUUCCCCUGGGGGCCUGUUGACGCCCUGUAUGUGUCUGUCCGGGUGGCACGUGACAUCUUCUGGAGCUGUGCAACGCCUCAUUGAGUGGAUGUAUGAUAACGUCAUAAUUUACUUAGCCAGGCCCUAUUGAUGAACAUUUGGCCGUUUCCCAUCUUUUUCUGCUGUAACAAUUAUGCCGCGGUGAAUAACCAUGUCAGUACAGUGUUUGCAAGUCCGUGUGUAGGGAGGGAAGACAAAUACAAGAAACCACUUGGAAGACCAUGAGGAACAGCAUCAUUUCAGUGCAGUUGGUCCCAGGGCAGUACCAUCUGAUAAGGUCGAAAACCACAGUGGGGGGGCCCAAGUCUUUGCAGGCAAGAGAGCAGAGCCACCUUAGAAAUGCGGGUGAUUUGCUGCAGGACAUGCAGCUGAAUUAGAGAAAUGUUUUGCAUAGAGUUUCAGGAUUACAGGCCUUUUCUCUGGUCACCUUGCCUUCCUGGGAAUUUCUUCUGGCAUAUAAUGAAGAUAGAAUGGUUGAGGCAUGGGGGUAUGUGUGUGCAAAUGAAGGCUUUUUUCCUUUCAAUUAUUUCAGGGAAGGCACAAAGGAACUGGUAAAUAAAACGUGGGAAAUUGAUGGCAACGUUUUUCACCUUGCAUAAUUAUUAUUACCAUUAAUCAAGAUAACACUUUCCUGGGUGCUGACAGUGUGGCUAGCAUAAUGCCAAACAAGGAUGUGGAUGCAGUCUCCAUAAAAACCAAAAGGCAGUAAUCUACAAAGCAGCAGGAGAAGACAGAUCACCUACAUAAGGAAAGGCAAGUUGCCUCCUGGUUUCAUUUUGUUUCUUUUUAGGACCUUCUGACAACUGAGAGGUUUGUGCCCUAAUUGCAAGGACCCCCAGCUUCUAUACUUGGAAUGAUGUUCAUCCAUUAAAAACACAAUGUUGUGGUCAGAAAUCAAUCCAGAUGUACUCAUAUUCUUUCUAUUUGUACCAUCUCCCUUUUCAAUCAGGAAUAAAAAACAGUAGUCAUGCUUUGCAAAACUUUCAUUAUAGGAACUGGGAAGAAAAGUAAUAAAGAAAGGAUGCUCUCAAGAGAAAAACUUGGAAGAGAGCAUAAUAUAUCAACCAAAUAGAAGGAGGAAUUGCAUGAAACUGCCUUCUAGCUUACGACUGUAUCAGACAUGAAGCAAAAAGAAUAAGCCAGGUUGAUUAAAACAACUUAUCACCUUAAAAAAAUUCAAGAUGAUGAAGCCUGGGCACAUAAAUUAUGCUUUUGCCAAUCCAGCUAGGGGAGCAUGGUGACAAGCUUGCUUGGCUAGAAUUCUCCAGGAUAUCGCUAUAAUCUUUAUAUGCCUCUCUUAUCUCUUGCCUUCUUUUUGCAGUUGGUGUUUGUUUACUUCACUAAAGUGAGAGCCCCCCCCCUUUUUUUUAACCUUCUUUAUUCUAUUAUUUCCAUCCCUGAAAGCUGAGCUUGAAAGUGGGCCUCCUGGGCUCAGCCUAAUAAUUAAGCCAUAGAAACCUCUCUGUUGCUGGUCUUACUACAUGAAACCUUAACCAUUGGACACUUUUAUAGUAGUCAUUGGUCAUUCAGUUGUCAACUAUUGUGUGAGUUGAAUUUAAAUUUAUAAACAUCCUUGGGCACUUCUGAAGUGUCGGGCAUUAGGGAUGCUGUGAUAAAAGAAGAAGUGAUUCCUGCCUUCAACUUUCUUAUCAUUGAAUGGGAAGAACAUUAGGCAAAUGACAGAAGGAGUUUACACAAGGUGCCUAUUGCUAUGUUAGGUACAUGAUAGGCACCCAUGUAUCUUGGGGGCACCUGCUCUCUUUCUAAUGUAAAUGUCCUAGAGAGUAGUAGGAGCCAUUACAGAGGGGUAGGACAGGACCACAUGGAGCAAGGAGGGGAGUGGUCAACUCUUUUGGGGUAACUAUGGGAUGGCUUUACUUAUGAGGUUAGCCUGAACCAAGAGGGAAUUUAACAGGUAGGCAAAGUGAAGAAAGGCAGGCAGAGAGGAACAACAAAGGCAUGUGGGAGAAAGCAGUGUCCCAUAUUGGGAGGUGGCAAGAGGUUUGACUGGAGGUGGGACUGGUGUGCAGAAUGUGAGGGGAUAGGAGCUGGCAAGAAUUAGCCUGGAAAGGAAGGCAGGGGCCAGAUGAGAAAAGGUAGGUCCUACAAGUGAAGGAACUGGGAACUUAUCUUCUGGAUUGUUGGCAGCUUUUGAGCAAGUCAGGGACUGGGUCAAAUCUGUAUACCUGCUUAAUUUUUUUCAUUAUGACGUUGCAAAUGAAGAUGAGUUACCACCAGCACAGCACAUUGGCUGGUGGGAAUGAGUUUAAAAUGAAUCUUCUUUUUCUCCCUACUUCCUUAGGGACCAGUCACAUGUGCUGUGAG